This 630-nucleotide long non-coding RNA is filed under the name Junco hyemalis (dark-eyed junco). Its description in RNAcentral is "lncRNA (ENSJHYG00000011914.1)". The record is from RNAcentral. Lineage: Eukaryota; Metazoa; Chordata; Aves; Passeriformes; Passerellidae.
UAUUGAUUUACAAUCACCCAGCUUAUGGAUCUGCAAUCACCAGCUCACUGAUUCAUAAUAACCAGCUUAUUGAUUUGCAAUCACCAGCGUAUUGAUCGAUUCGCAAUCCCCAUCCGGCCGCUCCCACCGCAGCCCCAUCCCAGCCGGGGCGGGCGCCAAGCCCGCGGCUCACCGGGCGCCGCUUGCGACACCGGGGCAGAUCCGGCCGGGCCCAUCCUGUCCCCUCCCAGCAGAGCCAGCAGCACUGUCUGUGUGUCUGUCCGUCCGUCUGUCUCGCACAGCCAUGGGCCCGGCACUCGCGGCCGUCCUGGCGCUGGCUGCGCUGCUCCCCGCGGAUGCGCUGCCCUGCGGAGCGCAGCGCCCGGACAGCGACACGGCAUCCAAGCUGCCCGGGACCUGGCUGUACGUGGCAGGGGCUGCCCAGUUCCCCCAGCACCAGGUGGAGAUGCUGCUCAUCGACCACGCCUUGCUGCGCCUGGAGCCGGGGCCCGGCGGGCAGGAGCUGCUCAUCAGCCACUUCGUGGCCGUAUCAAACAGGUUCAGACAAGUUUUGUCUUGCACGGAGGUCUCACGGGCACCAAGCCCUGCAGGCAAGGACAAGACCUUUCCACAAGUCCCUGUGCCAAGGCU